CGGCGAGUGAAGCGGGAAGAGCUCAAAUUUGAAAGCUGGCACCUUCGGUGUCCGCGUUGUAAUCUCGAGAAGUGUUUUCCGUGCUGGACCAUGUACAAGUUCCUUGGAAUAGGACGUCAUAGAGGGUGAAAAUCCCGUACUUGACAUGGACGCCCAGUGCUUUGUGAUACACUCUCCACGAGUCGAGUUGUUUGGGAAUGCAGCUCAAAAUGGGUGGUAAAUUCCAUCUAAAGCUAAAUAUUGGGGAGAGACCGAUAGCGAACAAGUACCGUGAGGGAAAGAUGAAAAGCACUUUGGAAAGAGAGUUAAACAGUACGUGAAAUUGUCGAAAGGGAAGCGCUUGAAGUUAGACAUGCUUGUCGGGAUUCAGCCUUGCUUUUGCUUGGUGUAUUUCCCGGUGUGCAGGCCAGCAUCAGUUUUGUUUGCCGGAUAAGGGUGAGAGGAAUGUGGCCCCUUGGGGUGUUAUAGCCUCUCACUGGAUACGGCGGAUGGGACUGAGGACCGCAGUGUGGCUUUAUGGCGGGCCUUCGGGCACCUUCACACUUAGGAUGCUGGCGUAAUGGCUUUAAGCGACCCGUC
Molecule: ribosomal RNA, 579 nt
Filed under: Quambalaria pitereka
Lineage: Eukaryota; Fungi; Basidiomycota; Exobasidiomycetes; Microstromatales; Quambalariaceae
Description: LSU rRNA
Rfam family: Eukaryotic large subunit ribosomal RNA
Source: RNAcentral